Molecule: transfer RNA, 538 nt
Filed under: uncultured cyanobacterium
Lineage: Bacteria; Bacillati; Cyanobacteriota
Description: partial contains 16S ribosomal RNA, 16S-23S ribosomal RNA intergenic spacer, and 23S ribosomal RNA
Rfam family: tRNA (bases 208-280)
Source: RNAcentral
CAGGGAGACAACAAAAUGUUUAAUAUUAUUUUGUCACCUUAGGUCGAUCGGUAUCUCACAUUCUUAUUUUUUAAGGAUUUUAUUUCCUAAGUUUUUCUAGGUCACACCCAUUAUUUUCCCUGGGCCAUUAGCUCAGGUGGUUAGAGCGCACCCCUGAUAAGGGUGAGGUCCCUGGUUCAAGUCCAGGAUGGCCCAUAUCUCUAUGUUGGGGGUAUAGCUCAGUUGGUAGAGCGCCUGCUUUGCAAGCAGGAUGUCAGCGGUUCGAGUCCGCUUACCUCCACUGAUUACCACCUCUUCCAUAAUUUUUAUUGAGGGAAACUUUUGAUUUGUGGUCGAAUUCUGAACGAAUCUAGCUUCCUAAUGAAUUCAUUAAGAUGCUGGUCUCAUUGAAUUAAUUUCAUUGUUUUCAGAGAACCUUGACGACUGCAUAGAUUAUUUUUUAAAGACAAUAAGCAUCUUUAAUGAUGCAGAUUUAUUAUUUGUGCUAAUGCAUUAAUAACAACUCUAUUAAGCUGAUGCUUCAAUUUUUGAAGUUAUU